CACUUCCAGCAUAUCAAUUAUUGGAGGCACUGCCUGCCCAGUGACAUCUGUUAAACGGCCGCGGUAUCCUGACCGUGCAAAGGUAGCAUAAUCAUUUGUUCUCUAAAUAAGGACUUGCAUGAAUGGCCACACGAGGGUUUUACUGUCUCUUACUUCCAAUCAGUGAAAUUGACCUUCCCGUGAAGAGGCGGGAAUACACAAAUAAGACGAGAAGACCCUAUGGAGCUUCAAUUAACCAACCCACAAAUUAACAAAACACAAUUCCAAGGAAUAUAAACCUCAUUUAAAUGGGUUGGCAAUUUAGGUUGGGGUGACCUCGGAACAUAAAAUAACUUCCGAGUGAUAAAGUUCUAGACUAACAAGUCAACAUAUUAUAAUAAUCACUUAUUGAUCCAAAAAAUUUGAUCAACGGAACAAGUUACCCUAGGGAUAACAGCGCAAUCCUGUUUGAGAGUCCAUAUCGAUAACAGGGUUUACGACCUCGAUGUUGGAUCAGGACAUCCCAAUGGUGCAGCCGCUAUUAAUGGUUCGUUUGUUCAACGAUUAAAGUCCU
RNAcentral lists this ribosomal RNA (553 nucleotides) under Melonycteris melanops (black-bellied fruit bat). RNAcentral's name for it is "partial 16S ribosomal RNA". It matches the Rfam family "Bacterial large subunit ribosomal RNA", at positions 1827 to 2597 of the family's 2925-position model. The record is from RNAcentral. Lineage: Eukaryota; Metazoa; Chordata; Mammalia; Chiroptera; Pteropodidae.